AUUGAACGCUGGCGGCAUGCCUUACACAUGCAAGUCGAACGGCAGCACGGGAGCAAUCCUGGUGGCGAGUGGCGAACGGGUGAGUAAUAUAUCGGAACGUGCCCAGUCGUGGGGGAUAACGUAGCGAAAGCUACGCUAAUACCGCAUACGAUCUACGGAUGAAAGCGGGGGAUCGCAAGACCUCGCGCGAUUGGAGCGGCCGAUAUCAGAUUAGGUAGUUGGUGAGGUAAAGGCUCACCAAGCCGACGAUCUGUAGCUGGUCUGAGAGGACGACCAGCCACACUGGGACUGAGACACGGCCCAGACUCCUACGGGAGGCAGCAGUGGGAAUUUGGACAAUGGGCGCAAGCCUGAUCCAGCAAUGCCGCGUGCAGGAUGAAGGCCUUCGGGUUGUAAACUGCUUUGUACGGAACGAAACGGUGAGCUCUAAUACAGUUUGCUAAUGACGGUACCGUAAGAAUAAGCACCGGCUAACUACGUG
This 481-nucleotide ribosomal RNA is filed under the name uncultured bacterium. Its description in RNAcentral is "bacterial SSU rRNA". It matches the Rfam family "Bacterial small subunit ribosomal RNA", at positions 30 to 507 of the family's 1533-position model. The record is from RNAcentral.